AACGAACGCUGGCGGCAUGCCUAACACAUGCAAGUCGAACGAGACCUUCGGGUCUAGUGGCGCACGGGUGCGUAACGCGUGGGAAUCUGCCCUGGGGUGCGGAAUAACUCGGAGAAAUCCGUGCUAAUACCGCAUAAUGUCUUCGGACCAAAGAUUUAUCGCCCUGGGAUGAGCCCGCGUAGGAUUAGCUAGUUGGUGGGGUAAAGGCCUACCAAGGCGACGAUCCUUAGCUGGUCUGAGAGGAUGAUCAGCCACACUGGGACUGAGACACGGCCCAGACUCCUACGGGAGGCAGCAGUGGGGAAUUUUGCUCAAUGGGGGAAACCCUGAAGCAGCGAUGCCGCGUGGAGGACGAAGGUCUUCGGAUUGUAAACUCCUUUUGCUGGUGAAAAAUAGCGGCGUGAAUAACGCCGACUGAUGGUAACCGGCGAAUAAGCCACGGCUAACUUCGUGCCAGCAGCCGCGGUAAU
RNAcentral lists this ribosomal RNA (470 nucleotides) under uncultured bacterium. RNAcentral describes it as "partial 16S ribosomal RNA". It matches the Rfam family "Bacterial small subunit ribosomal RNA", at positions 29 to 524 of the family's 1533-position model. The record is from RNAcentral.